RNAcentral lists this ribosomal RNA (601 nucleotides) under uncultured bacterium. Its description in RNAcentral is "bacterial SSU rRNA". It matches the Rfam family "Bacterial small subunit ribosomal RNA", at positions 726 to 1331 of the family's 1533-position model. The record is from RNAcentral.
CAACAAGGCCUUUACUGACGCUAAAGCUCGAAGGUGCGGGUAUCGAACAGGAUUAGAUACCCUGGUAGUCCGCACGGUAAACGAUGGAUGCCCGCUGUUCGCGAUAUACGGUGAGCGGCCAAGAGAAAUCGUUAAGCAUCCCACCUGGGGAGUACGCCGGCAACGGUGAAACUCAAAGGAAUUGACGGGGGCCCGCACAAGCGGAGGAACAUGUGGUUUAAUUCGAUGAUACGCGAGGAACCUUACCCGGGCUUGAACUGCAGGAGAAGGAUACAGAGAUGUUGACGCCCUUCGGGGCUCCUGUGGAGGUGCUGCAUGGUUGUCGUCAGCUCGUGCCGUGAGGUGUCGGCUUAAGUGCCAUAACGAGCGCAACCCUUUUCGUCAGUUGCCAUCAGGUGAUGCUGGGCACUCUGGCGACACUGCCACCGUAAGGUGUGAGGAAGGUGGGGAUGACGUCAAAUCAGCACGGCCCUUACGUCCGGGGCUACACACGUGUUACAAUGGGGCAUACAGAAGGCCGGUCGCCCGCAAGAGCGAUCCAAUCUAAAAAGUGUCCCUCAGUUCGGAUUGGGGUCUGCAACCCGACCCCAUGAAGCUGGAU